GUCUCUUGCUCGGUUGCAUCUAACAAUGUUGCCGAGCAUAAGAGACCUGCAGCUGACACAGGUAGCCGGCGCUCGGAAAUCACGUCCGGCGAUCGUGGCGAAAGCUGAAGCUGACGACCUGGAGGCUUGACUCCUUUGAAAGCUCGAAUGAUUCUCAUGGAAUUAUAAUUGAAGAAGAAGAAGAAGAAGAAGAAGAAGAAGAAGGGAUGAAUAGGAUUCAGGUUAGAAUUACAGGGAUGACCUGUGCUGCUUGCUCGAAUUCCGUGGAAUCAGCUAUCAAGAGCGUCAGUGGGGUUUUGAGAGCCUCUGUUGCCUUGCUUCAAAACAAGGCUGAUGUCGUGUUUGACCCUACUUUGGUGAAGGAUGAUGACAUCAAGAAUGCAAUUGAGGAUGCAGGCUUUGAAGCAGAGAUUCUAGCUGAACCCAGUACAUUUAAAACAAAGCCAAGUGGAACUCUUUUGGGGCAGUUCACAAUUGGAGGUAUGACCUGUGCAGCCUGUGUGAACUCAGUUGAAGG
Molecule: unclassified non-coding RNA, 517 nt
Filed under: Hevea brasiliensis (rubber tree)
Lineage: Eukaryota; Viridiplantae; Streptophyta; Magnoliopsida; Malpighiales; Euphorbiaceae
Source: RNAcentral